CCAGUCGGUUAUGUGAUGUGUUUGUGUCACCAUAAAAAGCUGAUAUUCAGUCGUGUUUUUUGAUAUUUUUGUUAUUUCAUAAUCGAGUACCUUUUUAAAGGUCUAAUGGCUCCGUUCAGCUGUUGUGUGCAGACGGUGAAAAAAUUCGACAAGUAAACAUUUAUUUAAUCCAAAUUACUCAAUAUUUCUAUGUAAAAUGUCACAUUAUUGUAUAAAUAAAUAAGUAAGAAACAAAA
This 236-nucleotide long non-coding RNA is filed under the name Diabrotica virgifera virgifera (western corn rootworm). RNAcentral describes it as "uncharacterized LOC126890047". The record is from RNAcentral. Lineage: Eukaryota; Metazoa; Arthropoda; Insecta; Coleoptera; Chrysomelidae.